Molecule: long non-coding RNA, 596 nt
Filed under: Homo sapiens (human)
Lineage: Eukaryota; Metazoa; Chordata; Mammalia; Primates; Hominidae
Description: HSALNT0274536
Source: RNAcentral
CGCCUGGCUAAUUUUGUUGUAUUUUUUUUUUAGUAGAGACGGGGUUUCAUCGUGUUAGCCAGGAUGGUCUUGAUCUCCUGACCUCGUGAUCUGCCCGCCUCGGCCUCCCAAAGUGCUGGGAUUACAGGCGUGAGCCACCGUGCCCGGCCAAGGGUUUUCCUUGUCUUAUCAGCUGGGCCUGCUUUAGCAAAAUACCCCAAGCUGGGGCGCUUCAGCCACAGACACUGAAUUCUAGCUGCCCAGGAGGCUGGAAGCCAAGCUCAGGGUUCUGGAAGUUCUGUCCCUGGCUCGCAGCCCUUCUCACUGUGUGCCCAGGGGUGCACUUUCGGAGGGUGAUGGGGAGAGAGAGAGAAAAAGAGAGAGAGCAAGCGAGCAAGCAAGCCUCACUCUUCUCCUGAGGACACAGAGAUGGAGAGAGAGACAGAGAGAGAGACUCACUCUUUCUUCUCCUGAGAACACAGGCUUGUGUGGCACCUGUCCCAAAUCCAAAGGCUGAGAACAUGGAGCCGACUUCCAGACGCCAUCCUCCAGGCUGCAGUGCUGAAGCCGACUGCUUGCCAAGCUGGGCCCUCCGUGGCGAGGGGUCCCCCCACAAG